GCGCGUAAAUUGCCCGAAUCCCGACACAGGGAGGUAGUGACAAGAAAUAACAAUACAGGGCCAUCUGGUCUUGUAAUUGGAAUGAGUACAAUUUACAUCUCUUCACGAGGAUCAAUUGGAGGGCAAGUCUGGUGCCAGCAGCCGCGGUAAUUCCAGCUCCAAUAGCGUAUAUUAAAGUUGUUGCAGUUAGAACGCUCGUAGUCGGAUUUCGGGGCGGGCCGACCGGUCUGCCGAUGGGUAUGUACUGGCCGGCGCGUCCUUCCUUCCGGAGACCGUGCCUACUCUUAACUGAGCGGGGGCGGGAGACGGGACUUUUACUUUGAAAAAAUCAGAGUGUUUCAAGCAGGCAGCUCGCUCUUGCAUGGAUUAGCAUGGGAUAAUAAAAUAGGACUUUGGUGCUAUUUUGUUGGUUUCGAACACCGAAGUAAUGAUGAGAAGGGACAGUCAGGGGCACUCGUAUUCC
RNAcentral lists this ribosomal RNA (463 nucleotides) under Haptophyta environmental samples. Its description in RNAcentral is "SSU rRNA". It matches the Rfam family "Eukaryotic small subunit ribosomal RNA", at positions 432 to 900 of the family's 1831-position model. Lineage: Eukaryota; Haptophyta. The record is from RNAcentral.